GACGAACGCUGGCGGCGUGCCUAAUACAUGCAAGUAGAACGCUGAAGAGAGGAGCUUGCUCUUCUUGGAUGAGUUGCGAACGGGUGAGUAACGCGUAGGUAACCUGCCUUGUAGCGGGGGAUAACUAUUGGAAACGAUAGCUAAUACCGCAUAACAAUGGAUGACACAUGUCAUUUAUUUGAAAGGGGCAAUUGCUCCACUACAAGAUGGACCUGCGUUGUAUUAGCUAGUAGGUGAGGUAAUGGCUCACCUAGGCGACGAUACAUAGCCGACCUGAGAGGGUGAUCGGCCACACUGGGACUGAGACACGGCCCAGACUCCUACGGGAGGCAGCAGUAGGGAAUCUUCGGCAAUGGGGGCAACCCUGACCGAGCAACGCCGCGUGAGUGAAGAAGGUUUUCGGAUCGUAAAGCUCUGUUGUAAGUCAAGAACGGGUGUGAGAGUGGAAAGUUCACACUGUGACGGUAGCUUACCAGAAAGGGACGGCUAACUACGU
RNAcentral lists this ribosomal RNA (496 nucleotides) under uncultured bacterium. RNAcentral's name for it is "partial 16S ribosomal RNA". It matches the Rfam family "Bacterial small subunit ribosomal RNA", at positions 28 to 506 of the family's 1533-position model. The record is from RNAcentral.